GGAGGGGUGCCCGAGUGGUUUAAGGGAACGGUCUUGAAAACCGUCGUGCGUUUCGGCGUACCGUGGGUUCGAAUCCCACCCCCUCCGCCA
This 90-nucleotide transfer RNA is filed under the name Alphaproteobacteria bacterium. Its description in RNAcentral is "tRNA-Ser". It matches the Rfam family "tRNA". Rfam says of the family: Transfer RNA (tRNA) molecules are approximately 80 nucleotides in length. Their secondary structure includes four short double-helical elements and three loops (D, anti-codon, and T loops). The record is from RNAcentral. RNAcentral also lists the same sequence under 1 other name. Lineage: Bacteria; Pseudomonadati; Pseudomonadota; Alphaproteobacteria.